Molecule: ribosomal RNA, 2930 nt
Filed under: Escherichia coli
Lineage: Bacteria; Pseudomonadati; Pseudomonadota; Gammaproteobacteria; Enterobacterales; Enterobacteriaceae
Description: 23S ribosomal RNA
Rfam family: Bacterial large subunit ribosomal RNA
Source: RNAcentral
GGGUUGUGAGGUUAAGCGACUAAGCGUACACGGUGGAUGCCCUGGCAGUCAGAGGCGAUGAAGGACGUGCUAAUCUGCGAUAAGCGUCGGUAAGGUGAUAUGAACCGUUAUAACCGGCGAUUUCCGAAUGGGGAAACCCAGUGUGUUUCGACACACUAUCAUUAACUGAAUCCAUAGGUUAAUGAGGCGAACCGGGGGAACUGAAACAUCUAAGUACCCCGAGGAAAAGAAAUCAACCGAGAUUCCCCCAGUAGCGGCGAGCGAACGGGGAGCAGCCCAGAGCCUGAAUCAGUGUGUGUGUUAGUGGAAGCGUCUGGAAAGGCGCGCGAUACAGGGUGACAGCCCCGUACACAAAAAUGCACAUAUUGUGAGCUCGAUGAGUAGGGCGGGACACGUGGUAUCCUGUCUGAAUAUGGGGGGACCAUCCUCCAAGGCUAAAUACUCCUGACUGACCGAUAGUGAACCAGUACCGUGAGGGAAAGGCGAAAAGAACCCCGGCGAGGGGAGUGAAAAAGAACCUGAAACCGUGUACGUACAAGCAGUGGGAGCACGCUUAGGCGUGUGACUGCGUACCUUUUGUAUAAUGGGUCAGCGACUUAUAUUCUGUAGCAAGGUUAACCGAAUAGGGGAGCCGAAGGGAAACCGAGUCUUAACUGGGCGUUAAGUUGCAGGGUAUAGACCCGAAACCCGGUGAUCUAGCCAUGGGCAGGUUGAAGGUUGGGUAACACUAACUGGAGGACCGAACCGACUAAUGUUGAAAAAUUAGCGGAUGACUUGUGGCUGGGGGUGAAAGGCCAAUCAAACCGGGAGAUAGCUGGUUCUCCCCGAAAGCUAUUUAGGUAGCGCCUCGUGAAUUCAUCUCCGGGGGUAGAGCACUGUUUCGGCAAGGGGGUCAUCCCGACUUACCAACCCGAUGCAAACUGCGAAUACCGGAGAAUGUUAUCACGGGAGACACACGGCGGGUGCUAACGUCCGUCGUGAAGAGGGAAACAACCCAGACCGCCAGCUAAGGUCCCAAAGUCAUGGUUAAGUGGGAAACGAUGUGGGAAGGCCCAGACAGCCAGGAUGUUGGCUUAGAAGCAGCCAUCAUUUAAAGAAAGCGUAAUAGCUCACUGGUCGAGUCGGCCUGCGCGGAAGAUGUAACGGGGCUAAACCAUGCACCGAAGCUGCGGCAGCGACGCUUAUGCGUUGUUGGGUAGGGGAGCGUUCUGUAAGCCUGCGAAGGUGUGCUGUGAGGCAUGCUGGAGGUAUCAGAAGUGCGAAUGCUGACAUAAGUAACGAUAAAGCGGGUGAAAAGCCCGCUCGCCGGAAGACCAAGGGUUCCUGUCCAACGUUAAUCGGGGCAGGGUGAGUCGACCCCUAAGGCGAGGCCGAAAGGCGUAGUCGAUGGGAAACAGGUUAAUAUUCCUGUACUUGGUGUUACUGCGAAGGGGGGACGGAGAAGGCUAUGUUGGCCGGGCGACGGUUGUCCCGGUUUAAGCGUGUAGGCUGGUUUUCCAGGCAAAUCCGGAAAAUCAAGGCUGAGGCGUGAUGACGAGGCACUACGGUGCUGAAGCAACAAAUGCCCUGCUUCCAGGAAAAGCCUCUAAGCAUCAGGUAACAUCAAAUCGUACCCCAAACCGACACAGGUGGUCAGGUAGAGAAUACCAAGGCGCUUGAGAGAACUCGGGUGAAGGAACUAGGCAAAAUGGUGCCGUAACUUCGGGAGAAGGCACGCUGAUAUGUAGGUGAAGUCCCUUGCGGAUGGAGCUGAAAUCAGUCGAAGAUACCAGCUGGCUGCAACUGUUUAUUAAAAACACAGCACUGUGCAAACACGAAAGUGGACGUAUACGGUGUGACGCCUGCCCGGUGCCGGAAGGUUAAUUGAUGGGGUUAGCGCAAGCGAAGCUCUUGAUCGAAGCCCCGGUAAACGGCGGCCGUAACUAUAACGGUCCUAAGGUAGCGAAAUUCCUUGUCGGGUAAGUUCCGACCUGCACGAAUGGCGUAAUGAUGGCCAGGCUGUCUCCACCCGAGACUCAGUGAAAUUGAACUCGCUGUGAAGAUGCAGUGUACCCGCGGCAAGACGGAAAGACCCCGUGAACCUUUACUAUAGCUUGACACUGAACAUUGAGCCUUGAUGUGUAGGAUAGGUGGGAGGCUUUGAAGUGUGGACGCCAGUCUGCAUGGAGCCGACCUUGAAAUACCACCCUUUAAUGUUUGAUGUUCUAACGUGGACCCGUAAUCCGGGUUGCGGACAGUGUCUGGUGGGUAGUUUGACUGGGGCGGUCUCCUCCUAAAGAGUAACGGAGGAGCACGAAGGUUGGCUAAUCCUGGUCGGACAUCAGGAGGUUAGUGCAAUGGCAUAAGCCAGCUUGACUGCGAGCGUGACGGCGCGAGCAGGUGCGAAAGCAGGUCAUAGUGAUCCGGUGGUUCUGAAUGGAAGGGCCAUCGCUCAACGGAUAAAAGGUACUCCGGGGAUAACAGGCUGAUACCGCCCAAGAGUUCAUAUCGACGGCGGUGUUUGGCACCUCGAUGUCGGCUCAUCACAUCCUGGGGCUGAAGUAGGUCCCAAGGGUAUGGCUGUUCGCCAUUUAAAGUGGUACGCGAGCUGGGUUUAGAACGUCGUGAGACAGUUCGGUCCCUAUCUGCCGUGGGCGCUGGAGAACUGAGGGGGGCUGCUCCUAGUACGAGAGGACCGGAGUGGACGCAUCACUGGUGUUCGGGUUGUCAUGCCAAUGGCACUGCCCGGUAGCUAAAUGCGGAAGAGAUAAGUGCUGAAAGCAUCUAAGCACGAAACUUGCCCCGAGAUGAGUUCUCCCUGACUCCUUGAGAGUCCUGAAGGAACGUUGAAGACGACGACGUUGAUAGGCCGGGUGUGUAAGCGCAGCGAUGCGUUGAGCUAACCGGUACUAAUGAACCGUGAGGCUUAACCUUACAACGCCGAAGCUGUU